This 72-nucleotide transfer RNA is filed under the name Camelus ferus (Wild Bactrian camel). It matches the Rfam family "tRNA". Rfam says of the family: Transfer RNA (tRNA) molecules are approximately 80 nucleotides in length. Their secondary structure includes four short double-helical elements and three loops (D, anti-codon, and T loops). The record is from Rfam by way of RNAcentral. Lineage: Eukaryota; Metazoa; Chordata; Mammalia; Artiodactyla; Camelidae.
GAAGGUAGAGCUCAGUGGUAGAGUGCAUGCCUAGCAUGCACGAGGUCCUGGGGUCCAUCCCCAGUACCUCCA